AGGCAGAACCAGGAUUUCAAGACAAGGUCUGGGCUCCCCAAGGAGCUGGACAUAGAGUUCAGGGACCAGAUCUCAUCUGCAGAGGAAACAAGAUAUGUGACCACACUUGAGCUCAGCAGCUGCUCAGGCUGAUCAAUGAGAAAAGAAGGCACCUCCCGACCAUUGGUCCUUCUAGGCCAGUGUCCGUCUGCAGCCAGGCCUCCUGGGGGCUGGGAGCCAGUGCCAUGGCUCCUGCUCAGGGAGCUGCAGUCCAAAAAGGAGGGUCCCAGAAACUUUCAGGUAACCCGGUUACUAACUUCAGAAGCGUGUUGUCUUUGGCAACCCUUGUUGG
Suricata suricatta (meerkat) is the source of this 331-nucleotide long non-coding RNA. RefSeq lists it as uncharacterized. Lineage: Eukaryota; Metazoa; Chordata; Mammalia; Carnivora; Herpestidae. The record is from RefSeq and is a predicted model, not a curated record. The transcript is spliced from 3 exons.